AUUGGAAGAAGGUAGAGCAGAGCUACCCCCGCCCUGAGUGCCUAUGCUGCAAUUUGCAGCCAACUCCUGCCAGGUUGAAACUCUGCAAGCUGCAUGCAUGUCUUCUUAAUAUUUAUUAGUAUUUAUUAGUAUUAGCACUCUGAGACAUCUGGAAAUUCAAGCCCUCCAUUUGCCACACAAACUUAGUGAGUUCAGGUCAGACCUGGAGGUCUGGCAACCUUAGUAGGCUUUCAUUAUUUAAGAGGAAGAGAGCAGUCUUCUAUCAGUUAUAGCAUUUUAUAGAAGAAGUGUUUGUGGGUUUUUUCAUGAAAUGGUAGAACACAGCUGGGGAGGGAGAGGCGGAGACUUACAGCACCAUGGCUCUUUGGAAGUAACUCCCACUGUGCUCAUUUGGCCUUACAGUUCUCUUGUGGAUGUUUCGUUUAUGUCUUCCUGCUCAGAACAAGACCUUCCAAAAAGGCAAAAUCACCCUCUUUCUGCUCAAGUUGUGUACUGUUUAGUUCACUUUGUUCUGUAAACAUUGACCAGGAUUUUCUCUCUGCUUUAUUCAAGUGUCAGUGCUAACAGGGCCACCAUUUUUCCCUGCCUCCCUUCUGCCCCCCUCCUUGCCUAGCAGGCUGCUGGGAAAGGAACAGAACAUUCUCACUGGAAGUCUGAGCUUGCAGAGGGCUUUUGAAAUCAGGCCAAAGCCUCUGUAGAAUUAGGCCGAGGGCGGCAGGAAGCCCUCAGGUUGCCCACCUUUGCUUCAAGCCGUGUCAGUUGCAUCCUUUAACCGGGGACACCUUAUAAGCAGAUAGAUAGAUAGAUAGAUAGAUAGAUAGAUAGAUAGAUAGAUGUUAACCAGAGUUUAAAAAAAAAACGCUAAGAAGAAAUGCAGACAGUAAUACCAUUUUAGAAGAGGCAAUCUCCUUGCAUUCCCUCACAGAGGAAGGAAUGCCUCUUCUAAGAUAUGGAAUAUGCAAGCACCAUCUAAAAACAAUCAUUUUAUUAUUAUUAUUGGUUUUGCAUUUAAGAUUUCUUUAAUUAAUUGAAAGCCCUAAUAGGAAUUACAGCUAAAUUAGAGAAAGAACACUUGUUUCCCCUUCACCCCAACUAAAUAACAUCAUAGGUAAAGGUAAAGGGACCCCUGACCAUUAGGUCCAGUCGUGGCUGACUCUGGGGUUGUGGCGCUCAUCUCGCUUUACUGGCCGAGGGAGCCGGCGUACAGCUUCCGGGUCAUGUGGCCAGCAUGACUAAGCCACUUCUGGUGAACCAGAGCAGCACACAGAAACGCUGUUUACCUUCCUGCUGGAGCAGUACCUAUUUAUCUACUUGCACUUUGACGUGCUUUCAAACUGCUAGGUUGGCAGGAGCAGGGACAGAGCAGCGGGAGCUCACCCCGUCGUGGGGAUUCGAACCACCGACCUUCUGAUUGGCAAGUCCUAGGCUCUGUGGUUUAACCCACAGCGCCACCCGCGUCCCAAAAUAACAUCAUAACUGUUGACAAAUAUUAUUAUUGACAAAUAAUAAUUGGUUAUUAUUAUUUAUUGGAUUUAUGUACUGCCCUUCAUUCAAAGAUCUCAGGGUGAUCUUUACAACAUCAAAACAAAACAAAACAAAACGGAAUAUUAUUUUUAUUACUGGUAAAUAAGAAGUCAAUGUAAGGAAUAGCAGGGAACAACCCUCGUCCAUCUGCUGAAAUUGUAUUGAAGCUUUCCUCUCAUACAAAGAAAGCCUUUGUCUUUCUUCACCUGCUGUGGAGAGGAGGUUUCGCAGCAGAAGCCGGGAUGAAAAUCAAACAGGAGAAGCUGUGGACAGUGAGGGGAGAGAAAUAAGGAUGGAGAGGGGGAAAGAGUGUAGUUUUCAGGCUAAGGUGUCAUCACCCUUCUUGGCUGUGAUGCUCUCUUCAAACUCACACAGCAAAUAAUUCAGUUCUGGUGUCUGAAAAUGUGGUGCUAUGCUUAAUUUAUAUUUUGCUCAGCUUGUGGUUAUCCUUCUGGCAGAGAUUAGCAGGUGACAAUACACCACAUACACACUACACUUCCUGGGGAAAUAAGAAAAUAGACCCCUCAGGUGGCCAUAAGUGACAUUUGCUGUAGUAGUGAGAGAAAUGUAGAUCGGGUUUUUUGUGGCAUUCUCUGCAUCCUACAUCCUUACAGCGAAAAGGUCACCUCAAGAUAGCUUUUGUUUAGUGCAAAGGCUACAUACCUAUUCAGACAAUGGGGUUCCUUGGGUAUUUUGAACCAUUCCCCCUUCCAUUUGACAGGUCAUUUUAUAUACCACUCGGUGUGGGUGAAUCUGUCCAUUUUGGUUUCUCUUGGUUCUUUAUUUUUUCAGAUUCCUCAUUUUUCUCCCAAGGAGCUCAAGGUGGCAUAUAUGGUUCAACCCAGUGAAGUAGGUUAGGCUGAGAGACAAUGACAGGCCCAAGGUCACCCAGCAAGCUUCAUAGCUGAGCCCCGGUGAUUCAAAUCCUGGUCUCCCAGGUCAUAGUCCAACACACCAACACUCUCUUUGCAAAAUUCACGGAUGUGUGAAUUUGGGAGGAUAUCUGUGUUUCACUUUGUGUAUUGUUUCAGAACAUGCAAGUUGGGUAGGGUCAGGUCAGCUUUAAAUGUGAAGUGAAUUGAAUGUCUCCCCCAUCUCCAUCUUUGAGUAAGCCUAUUGGAUACAGCACAGCUUGCUUCUGGGUAGGCUUUCAUAGGCCAUAACAAAGGGUAGGGGCAUAGCUUAGGGGUACAGCAUCUAGGUUGCAAGUUCAAUCCCUGACAUUUCAAAGCAGAGCUGGGAGAGACCUUGACUGAAAGAUUACUGUGUUUCAGUUCAUAUACAGUGGUACCUCGGGUUAAGUACUUAAUUCGUUCCGGAGGUCCGUACUUAACCUGAAAUUGUUCUUAACCUGAAGCACCACUUUAACUAAGGGGGCCUCCUGCUGCCACCACGCCGCCGGAGCACGAUUUCUGUUCUUAUCCUGAAGCAAAGUUCUUAACCUGAAGCACUAUUUCUGGGUUAGCGGAGUCUGUAACCUGAAGCGUCUGUAACCUGAAGCGUCUGUAACCCGAGGUACAACUGUACUGUUUUAGAAAGUGCAAAUUAGGUAAAAGCACCUUUAUAUGUGAAGUGGAUCGAAUUUCUCCUCUAUCCAUACACAAUACCCCACUUUUCUCAAUUUCUUUACUUUUAUACUCCAAGGCAUAUUCUUCACAGAAUGCAUUUGUACAAAUAAGGUGUAAUUAGCCUUACCCAUCAGAUAAUGGUUGACCUUCUGUUGCUUCUGUGCAGAUUCAAUGUGUUAAUACUACACUCAGCGUGGUUCAAGGUUGAGUGAAAUUGUGAGCAGAGACAUACAAAUAGAGAAACACCUCCCCAAACAACAUAAAGACAAAAGGUUCCCAUCGAGGUAACUACCUCCUUCAGCUCUGACUUCGCUGUGUUAAACCGAGCAUUUGUGGAGAAUAAGCAGGCCCACUUGUGGCAAACCUGAUUUAUUCCAGAGGAAGGAAGGAAGGAAAACAUGAAGUGAAAUUGCUGAGGAUUGGAAAUCUUUUUUUGGAAUGGAGAAUGAGAGCUGAGGUGACAACAGGGAUUGACAAAUCUGUCAGUUUGGGUUUUUCAAUUUCAAAUCUUAGGGUUGUCAUAUUUCAAAAAGUGGAAGUCUGGACACAAAACCUGUUGAGCUUUUUUAGCAAAAUAACAAAUAAUAUUUUAAAGCUGUUUUUGAGGGAAAUGGCCAAAAUGGCUGGAUUUCCCCAAACGAUUUCCGCCUGGACACAGCUUCUGACUACAGUUUUCUGGGUAUGUCAGGGAAAUUCUGGAUGUAUGGCAACCCUACUAAUCUUCAAUUUAGUUCUCCACAUUGCCGCAGCCAUUUGCAUUUUUUUACAAAAAAUAAAAUCCACAGGAAAAUUUGUCAACAUUUUAGUUUCUCCUAAUAAACAAUCAAUCAUUUUUGGGUGUGCCACAUUUCCAAAGUUAAUGCCAUGCUCAAGGCAGCUUACAACAUAUAAAAAACCUCCGAGGCGGCUUCCUGUUUGAGUUUUCCAUACAUUUUGAGGCUUGCGUAUUGAGUUUUCGGUUUUCGAACGUUUCGGAAGUCGAACAGUCUUCCGGAAUGAAUUACAUUCGAAAACCAAGGUACCACUGUAUAUGCAUUUUCAUGCACACUUUCCCACAAUAUAUGCAUUUUUGUACAUGUUCAUGGUUGGGGAAGCACCAUCUCAAAAUGUGAAAACGUGAAUUUCAAAGGAUAGCUGUGCUUCAGUUUGCUGUUUGUUCCAGACGUGCGUAAUGGGUAGUUAACAGGCAAACAAAAGUGAAUUCAUCCCUCAUCCCUAGUUAAUAACAGGCACAAUCUGAUGAUGUGAAAAGCCUCAAGC
This 4352-nucleotide long non-coding RNA is filed under the name Podarcis lilfordi (Lilford's wall lizard). The record is from RNAcentral. Lineage: Eukaryota; Metazoa; Chordata; Lepidosauria; Squamata; Lacertidae.